UCAGCUGGGCUGAGCUGAGGGCAGGACAAAGAAAUCCCAGCCUGGGCCCAAGAAGGCAGGAGAAGUUCAUUCUCAAGAUCCUGUGACUGGCAAGGCAGAGCUGCAGCUGAGACUUUAUGGAUCCUUGGAGUCAUGGCAUUGGCCCAAAACUUUUCAGGUAAAAAGGUGAGAAUAAACUGAGGCUUGCCUGCAGCAGAAAGUUAGUUCAAGUGAAGGAGUUCAAAGAGUGCAAGUUCUAGUUGGAGUGGAAGCUGGAGUCUUGGAGAGCCAGGAGAGAAGAGCUGAGAAGAGCUGCUGAAAUUAGAGCUGAGGAAUCACUGGGAAAGUUGAGCUGAAACUCUCUGAAGAACUGAAUCACUCUCAAAGCAGCUGAAGGAUCAGCCUGGAACUGAACCACCAGAACCGGGUAGAAAGAGCAAGACCUGAGACUGAGAAAGUCAGGCUCUCAGCAGCAGCUGACUAGAAGUGAUUAUAGGAAGACUGCUGGUAAGGACUCUGAAUUAGAGCACAGUAUUCGGUGCAGGUUAAUUUGGAUGUGUUUUUCUCAUAUUUUAUUUGUUCCUUAUGCUCAUUUGGCUGUUUUUUUCUUUGUACUAAAAUUUCCAAAAGAACUACUGUCACAAUUUUUUGAAUUUAA
Hemicordylus capensis (graceful crag lizard) is the source of this 637-nucleotide long non-coding RNA. RefSeq lists it as uncharacterized. The record is from RefSeq and is a predicted model, not a curated record. NCBI's taxonomy places the organism in Eukaryota, Metazoa, Chordata, Lepidosauria, Squamata, Cordylidae. The transcript is spliced from 3 exons.